Molecule: long non-coding RNA, 3284 nt
Filed under: Homo sapiens (human)
Lineage: Eukaryota; Metazoa; Chordata; Mammalia; Primates; Hominidae
Description: HSALNT0253655
Source: RNAcentral
CACAAAUGGAGCCAGGCUAAUGGAGAGGAAGGAGAGCUUUUUCCAAACCAAUAGAGAAAGGCCCACAGGAAAUGUUUAGCAGAUGUGGCAAACCCAGACAGUUAUGAAAUCAUUGUUCAUUCAUAACUUUACGUAAGUCUGAGCAUGCAGACAGUUGCUUUGCUUUAUUUUGGUUUUACUUUCUGUUUUCUUGCUUGAGAAGAACCCUAGAGCUUCAGGUAAACUCAACCCCCUCUUCGCAGAAAUGUCACUCAUGCUCAUCACAGAUGACGCAGAUGCCGAGGAAGCCACAGAGAGCAAUUGGGCACAGGCGCCUCACCUCUCCGGCACAGCUAUGGGAAGAUGCUUUUGUCCGCCCAGCCAGGGCCAGGAUGACACCAGGGACGCUCAAACGUCUACAGCCAAUUUGGUGACCCCCUUUAAUUUUUGGAAAUGCCACUGCUGGCCCCUCACAGUGGAAAUUCUUCAUGUGCAACCAGCUCAUAAAUAUAGUGUGUUGGAGGCACCUGGAUGGUUAGGACUCAGGACAAUAUUCUCCCCAAAUAUUUUCUCAACAUCCAUCUUCCUGGUGGCAAUUAGUGUCUGAGAUUCUCUUUAACUUUUCCUUGCCGGGGUGACUGCAGUCAGCCGUCAAGGCAAGAAAAGGGAAGUCUGAAAAAGUGUAAAACUGAUCAUCAAAACACAAAACUUUACGUGUUUUUCUCUGAAAGCGCAUGAAACUGGCUGCUUAGCUUCCAAAUGGAAACCCCACACUGCAUGUUCUCCGAGGCUUUUCUGCUUUCUUUUGACAUUUUGACACUGAGCUCUGAAAUAAUAGUGUUAACUGUUGAUCUUUUUUUCCUUUGGAAAUUGGCUUUUGACACUAGACAGCUGGAAAAUCUGAAAGGUUAGCGCACAUCUGGUGCGUCUACCUCAAUAUAAAUGCCAAUGUUCCAUCAAAGCUUUUCACAGAUCAAUGAAAUAAUGAUCACAGGUGCCAAGACACAGGGAUUCACUAAGAUGGACAGCCACACAGAAUUAUGACAAGCAAAGCUUCUUAUUCCUACAAUACAGGGUAGAGAGAGACAACUGUUUGAACUUUCAAAUUGUACACUGGAAGACGAGCACCAUGUUUGCAAUUGAUUCUGCCUCCUUCCAGCUUAGAGCCUUCAGUAGCAGACACGAGCAAUUUCCUACCCUGCUGAGCUCCAUGGGCUCCCAAUGGAUCCUUCAAAGCUGAGCUCCUGGUAACCUCACAGAGAAUCGCUGUGUGGGAAACCAGAGCAGGAGGCUGGAGGCAGGUAAGAGCCGGGCCAUCCACAUGGUAACAUGGAAACUGGGUUGUUUUUCCAGGGCUUGGACCAGGCUUGGGCGUGUGGCUGCUGCACGUGAGAAAUGUCCCUUCUCCCACACACGCCAGUAGCCACACCACUCUCUGAAUAGGAACACCUGCUCUAUGUACCCAGCCCAAUGUAUUACAAUAUUUAUUAGGCCCUCAUGCUGUGGCUAGGUAAAGUGAAGUGACAUACAUUUUAUGAAAUUUGUGUCCCCAUGUCUGUACCUUCAUUCUGACGUCACUGCUCUUGCCAAGAACAGAUCAAAACCGUUGCAUGUUUGGGUUUGUUACUCCCUUGUUCUUCCCACUGUGCUGGCAAGAGGGCGCGGGCGAUAAAUGAGGUCAGGAACACCUGCUCCAUUGCAACUGCUUCUGGACAGACCAGACCUCAGGCCACAUGCUCACCAGUGCUGGGGUUGAGCCCUAUUCUGUGACCCCACCACAAUGAAUAUUGAGGCAGAAAUCGUGAAUAUGACAAGGUCCUGCCCUCAUACUCCUUAAGAAAAAGGAAAAUAUUUUAAAUGAAAUCAUCUUCAUUGUUACAUUUACAAAUGAGGGAUAAAAACCAAACACAUAGAAAAGUAUUUUAAAAAUUCCUGUGUACCCCCAGCGACAUGUACUGUGACACCGUGAGCAUUUUGGCGUCUAUCCAUCCAGAUACGUUCCUACCUGCAUGCAAUGGCAGGAAAGAUCCAGAUACAGAUUUCCAUGCCCAAACACCCUACACCCAGUUGAUGUCCCAGACCUGCUAUCCCAUAACCGACUCUUCCCUUAACAGCAUACCUUACAUGUCCUCUUAGUCAACGGACACACAUCAGCUUCGUCUUCAGUGUCUGUCCAGUAUUCGUGCCAUGCCACUCCAUAAUUUCUUCACAAAAAUCUCCCAUUUCAGGCAAUUUAUGUUUAUUGUUAAGCCAGUCACAUUUAGCAGUGUGGGGUCGUGUACCAACUUUAGUGACACCAAUGUUAAUCAGUUCUGAUAACCACUACAUUGGACAAGCCAGGAUUUUUUUUUUUAAUUCCUACUUGUUUCAAACAACAGUACGUGUUUACAAGAAGGCUUUUGUAAUUCUAUAUUUGCAAAAAGUGUGUAUGUGUCUGGUUCUUUUCUGCGGAUACAUUUCUGGAAGUGCAAUCUCUGGGUUGGCAUUUUGUACACUUUAAACCUUUCUCGUAUGUGCCCCCAAAUCGUCCUCCAGAAAGUUGGCACUGGAGCACACCACCCACAGCGGGGUAUGAGGCCUGAGACGAAAGUGAAUCCUGUGUCUUCUUCAGAGACACAGAAGCUGCUGAUUUCUUCCUGUUCUGGAGACUGACACUUAAAUGUGUCUCAGAAGUGGUUUGGGGCAAAGUAGGGGCAAAAAUUUUCAUGUGGAGGCAACAAAUUUAAAUAACCAAACACAAUGAACCAAAAUUAUCGAUUCUCUGAGUCAUUUUAUAACUGAAUAGUCAAUUCUCUGAGUCGUUUUAUAACACCUGGGACAGCGUCGUGGAGACUGAACACGUGAGUUCUCUGAGUUGCUUUAUACCACCUGGGAGAGUGUGGUGGAGAUUGAACACAUCAAUUCUCUGAGUCGUUUUAUAAUGCCUGAAAGAGCAUCAUCGAGACUGAACACGCGGUGAAUUGCAGCCACUACUCAACAUCAUGCUUUUCACGUCUAGUCUGGAUGGAACAUUCUAGAAGGGCUCUAGGAGACACGUGGAUCCUGGAGUAAGUUGGGUAAAGAAACAUGUUAAAGGAAGGUAGCUCUUAUUUUACCAGAGCCUGUCCUUUGGUUUUUGUUAAAUCCAGAGUAUCUUAAAAUUUAAGAAUUACAUUUUCAGGUAGAAGCUUCAAUACUGUUUAUUUGAAUAAAAUAUAAAUAAUUUAUAUUAACAAGGCUGCUUAAAGUUUAUUGAAUUCUCAAUUUUUUAUGACCUUAUCAUCUCCUUAUGAAAUAACUGUUACUGAACAAGAAUUAAGUCUUAU